GAUGAACGCUAGCGGCAGGCUUAACACAUGCAAGUCGAGGGGUAAGGUUAGCUUGCUAAUCUGAGACCGGCGCACGGGUGCGUAACGCGUAUGCAAUCUACCUUUCACAAAGGGAUAGCCCAGAGAAAUUUGGAUUAAUACCUUAUAGUAAUACGACUUGGCAUCAAGAUGUAUUUAAAGAUUUAUCGGUGAAAGAUGAGCAUGCGUCCCAUUAGCUAGUUGGUAUGGUAACGGCAUACCAAGGCAACGAUGGGUAGGGGUCCUGAGAGGGAGAUCCCCCACACUGGUACUGAGACACGGACCAGACUCCUACGGGAGGCAGCAGUGAGGAAUAUUGGACAAUGGGCGCAAGCCUGAUCCAGCCAUGCCGCGUGCAGGAUGACGGUCCUAUGGAUUGUAAACUGCUUUUAUACAGGAAGAAACCCCUCUACGUGUAGAGACUUGACGGUACUGUAAGAAUAAGGAUCGGCUAACUCCGUGCCAGCAGCCGCGGUAAUACGGAGGAUCCAAGCGUUAUCCGGAAUCAUUGGGUUUAAAGGGUCCGUAGGCGGUCAGGUAAGUCAGUGGUGAAAGCCCAUCGCUCAACGGUGGAACGGCCAUUGAUACUGUCUGACUUGAAUUAUUAGGAAGUAACUAGAAUAUGUAGUGUAGCGGUGAAAUGCUUAGAGAUUACAUGGAAUACCAAUUGCGAAGGCAGGUUACUACUAAUAUAUUGACGCUGAUGGACGAAAGCGUGGGUAGCGAACAGGAUUAGAUACCCUGGUAGUCCACGCCGUAAACGAUGGAUACUAGCUGUUGGGCGCAAGUUCAGUGGCUAAGCGAAAGUGAUAAGUAUCCCACCUGGGGAGUACGAACGCAAGUUUGAAACUCAAAGGAAUUGACGGGGGCCCGCACAAGCGGUGGAGCAUGUGGUUUAAUUCGAUGAUACGCGAGGAACCUUACCAAGGCUUAAAUGUAGAUUGACCGUUU
This 969-nucleotide ribosomal RNA is filed under the name uncultured bacterium. RNAcentral describes it as "bacterial SSU rRNA". It matches the Rfam family "Bacterial small subunit ribosomal RNA", at positions 28 to 1001 of the family's 1533-position model. The record is from RNAcentral.